RNAcentral lists this long non-coding RNA (853 nucleotides) under Equus caballus (horse). RNAcentral describes it as "lncRNA (ENSECAG00000058227.1)". Lineage: Eukaryota; Metazoa; Chordata; Mammalia; Perissodactyla; Equidae. The record is from RNAcentral.
CUGUGAGCAAGACAGACACAGCGCCUGCCCUCAAGGAGCGCGCAGUCGCCUUAUCAGAAAGAAUAAAACAGGAGUAGGAUGAACUAAAUACCCGUAAUUCCGGGAUAGAAGGUGGUAAAUGUUAUGAGAGCGGCAUAGAGCUUAAAGAAUGGAGACGUGACCUCCGACAGGGCGAACUGGGGACAGCCCCACGGAGGAGGUGGCGUUGGAGCUGGGCUCUGAGUGAGCUGGGCACUUGAGGAUGUCCAGCUUUCCUUCCAGCUGGAGGGAAGAAAAGAAUCAAAAGCAAGGAGUGGAAAUUGAGACUCAGCUGCCUACAAGCAUGUAAGGGGGGAAAAAAGAAGAAACCAUGAUCCCAUACUGAUAUUAAACAUAAAAUACGGUGUUUGCCAGAGGAAUGCGUCUGAGGGCUGUGUGUGGCCCUGCGUGCCAGGUCUGACCCUUGCACUAAGGAGGAGCAAGGAACAAUGAGUAGUUCAUCUGGUUAGAGAUAUGAGUGCACAAGACAAGCUAGGAAAUCGGGGUGAUGCAAGAUCAGCCUGGUCUUUGAGGAUCUUGAAUGUCACUCCAAGAGUCCGGAUUUGACCCUGUGGGCACCUGGGAGCCACUGAAGGUCUGUGAGCAGGAGAGAUGGUGAUCACAGUCCUGGCUCUGCAGAGCAGGAUAAUGCGUGGGAAGAACUUGACCCAAAGCCUGGAAGAGAGUCAGCCUGCAGGCGGUGUUGUCCAUGAUGAGGGUCAUUGCUGUGCAACGCGAAUGUGCCGGGAGCUGGCAAUUCUGUCUGCUGCUCAAAGCUCAGCAUUCAUUCUGACCUCCCACAGGUGGAGGCAGCGCUGGGGGAGGUUCGUAGCCC